UGUAGUUAAUACUUUUACUA
RNAcentral lists this transfer RNA (20 nucleotides) under Rhipicephalus punctatus. Its description in RNAcentral is "partial tRNA-Ile". Lineage: Eukaryota; Metazoa; Arthropoda; Arachnida; Ixodida; Ixodidae. The record is from RNAcentral.